GCUUUGCUACGGUGGAAACGCACCCGACGAGACGCGCCGUACCGGGUUGAAGGCAAAGACGACGCACC
RNAcentral lists this non-coding RNA (68 nucleotides) under Streptomyces sp. The record is from RNAcentral. Lineage: Bacteria; Bacillati; Actinomycetota; Actinomycetes; Kitasatosporales; Streptomycetaceae.